GUGCUCGCUUCAGCAGCACAUAUACUAAAAUUGGAAAGAAACAGAGAAGAUUGGCAUGGCCCUCGCGCAAGGAUGACACACAAAUUCCUGAAGCGUUCCAUAUUUUU
RNAcentral lists this small nuclear RNA (107 nucleotides) under Spermophilus dauricus (Daurian ground squirrel). The record is from RNAcentral. Lineage: Eukaryota; Metazoa; Chordata; Mammalia; Rodentia; Sciuridae.